Molecule: non-coding RNA, 82 nt
Filed under: unclassified sequences
Description: L31-Actinobacteria ribosomal protein leader
Rfam family: L31-Actinobacteria ribosomal protein leader
Source: RNAcentral
CCGGCUCCGGUUCACGUCCUGUCCCAUGACACCACCGCAUCACGGGUGGCGUCCGGGAGUUCCUCAGGGCGACCCGGCGGCC